This 561-nucleotide ribosomal RNA is filed under the name uncultured Sebacinales. RNAcentral's name for it is "eukaryotic LSU rRNA". It matches the Rfam family "Eukaryotic large subunit ribosomal RNA", at positions 81 to 618 of the family's 3401-position model. Lineage: Eukaryota; Fungi; Basidiomycota; Agaricomycetes; Sebacinales. The record is from RNAcentral.
UAGUAACGGCGAGUGAAGAGGGAAAAGCUCAAAUUUUGAAUCUGGCGCCUUUGGCUCCCGAGUUGUAAUCUAGAGAAGUGUUUUCCGCAUCGGACCGUGUAAAAGUUCCCUGGAACGGGACGUCAUAGAGGGUGAGAAUCCCGUACAUGCCACGGACUGCCGUUGCUCUGUGAUACACUCUCAACGAGUCGAGUUGUUUGGGAAUGCAGCUCAAAAUGGGUGGUAAAUUCCAUCUAAAGCUAAAUAUUGGCGAGAGACCGAUAGCGAACAAGUACCGUGAGGGAAAGAUGAAAAGCACUUUGGAAAGAGAGUGAAACAGUACGUGAAAUUGUUGAAAGGGAAGCGUUUGGAGUCAGUCGCGUCUGGUGGGAUUCAGCCUUGCUUCUUCUUGGUGUUAUUCCUGUCUGACGGGUCAGUGUCGAUUUCGAUUGAGGGAGAAAGGCUUGGGGAAUGUGGCUGUCUUCGGGCAGUGUUAUAGCCCCUUGUUGUAUGUCUCAGUUGGGAUCGAGGAAUGCAGCACGCCUUUUGGCCGGGGUUCGCGCCCUCGGUACGUGCUUAGGA